GCGGGUGUAGUUCAACGGUAGAACAUCAGCUUCCCAAGCUGAGAACGUGGGUUCGAUUCCCAUCACCCGCUCCA
Molecule: transfer RNA, 74 nt
Filed under: Gammaproteobacteria bacterium
Lineage: Bacteria; Pseudomonadati; Pseudomonadota; Gammaproteobacteria
Also listed under: 3 other names
Description: tRNA-Gly
Rfam family: tRNA
About the family: Transfer RNA (tRNA) molecules are approximately 80 nucleotides in length. Their secondary structure includes four short double-helical elements and three loops (D, anti-codon, and T loops).
Source: RNAcentral